CUCCCACCUCAGCCUUCUGAAUAUCUGGGACCACAGUUCAUUACUAAUUGUGCUUACCUGGGAGCAGUUUAACUUAGUUAAACUGAAAAUUCUGAAAAUCCUGAAAAUUCUGAAGACCUCGAAAUUACCUUGUGGCCUCUUCCUCACCUGAGAGGCACCUACUAAAGCUCAAAGAUGGCUCUACCUUGGAUGUCCAAACAUUUCUGCUUUUGACUAUAGUGAAGAUGAGAGACUGGUGGGCUGCUGGAGCUACGGUAGUGACAUGGAAGCCCCGAUCCCACUGUUAAGGAACCUGUGGUUUAGAUGGGAACAUGAAGCAACUUCACGCAAACUGCAGCAAGUGAAGAGUCUCAGCUGAGCAGAGACCUGGAGAGUCUGGGUGAAGGGAACAUUCUCUGGCAGCUGAAGAAGGCUUAGCCAGACCUACAUUUUAGCAGGUCACAGUAGGAAAGCCAUGGGCAUUAAAGCCUCCAGCAGCAGUUGACUAUAGGUGCAUUUUAUUAGAAAAUUAAAUACAUCUUAUUUAAAUGA
Molecule: long non-coding RNA, 531 nt
Organism: Macaca mulatta (Rhesus monkey)
Lineage: Eukaryota; Metazoa; Chordata; Mammalia; Primates; Cercopithecidae
Source: RefSeq, a predicted model, not a curated record